GACGAACGCUGGCGGCGUGCUUAACACAUGCCAGUCGAGCGGUGAAGCGCCUUCCUUUUUGGUGGGUGUGGAUGAGUGGCGAACGGGUGAGUAACACGUGAGUAACCUGCCCCCUUCUUCUGGAUAACCGCAUGAAAGUGUGGCUAAUACGGGAUAUUCUGGGUCUGUCGCAUGAUGGGUCUGGGAAAGAUAUUGUUUCGGUGGGGGAUGGGCUCGCGGCCUAUCAGCUUGUUGGUGGGGUGAUGGCCUACCAAGGCGGUGACGGGUAGCCGGCCUGAGAGGGUGGACGGUCACACUGGGACUGAGACACGGCCCAGACUCCUAUGGGAGGCAGCAGUGGGGAAUAUUGCACAAUGGGCGAAAGCCUGAUGCAGCGACGCCGCGUGAGGGAUGGAGGCCUUCGGGUUGUGAACCUCUUUCGCCAGUGAAGCAGGCCUGCCUCGUUUGUGGGUGGGUUGACGGUAGCUGGAUAAGAAGCGCCGGCUAACUACGUG
This 494-nucleotide ribosomal RNA is filed under the name uncultured bacterium. RNAcentral describes it as "partial 16S ribosomal RNA". It matches the Rfam family "Bacterial small subunit ribosomal RNA", at positions 28 to 507 of the family's 1533-position model. The record is from RNAcentral.